This 29-nucleotide non-coding RNA is filed under the name Mus musculus (house mouse). The record is from RNAcentral. Lineage: Eukaryota; Metazoa; Chordata; Mammalia; Rodentia; Muridae.
UGACCAUCUAGUUGGGGUCAACUACUCCA